This 460-nucleotide ribosomal RNA is filed under the name uncultured bacterium. RNAcentral describes it as "partial 16S ribosomal RNA". It matches the Rfam family "Bacterial small subunit ribosomal RNA", at positions 338 to 795 of the family's 1533-position model. The record is from RNAcentral.
CCUACGGGAGGCAGCAGUGAGGAAUAUUGGUCAAUGGACGAGAGUCUGAACCAGCCAAGCAGCGUGAAGGAUGACUGCCCUAUGGGUUGUAAACUUCUUUUAUCGGGGAAUAAAAUGUUCCACGUGUGGGAUUUUGUAUGUACCAUAUGAAUAAGGAUCGGCUAACUCCGUGCCAGCAGCCGCGGUAAUACGGAGGAUCCGAGCGUUAUCCGGAUUUAUUGGGUUUAAAGGGUGCGCAGGUGGAUGGUUAAGUCAGGUGUGAAAAUUUGCGGCUCAACCGUAGACUUGCAGUUGAAACUGGGAGUGUUGAGUGCAGUAGAGGUGGGCGGAAUUCGUGGUGUAGCGGUGAAAUGCUUAGAUAUCACGAAGAACUCCGAUUGCGAAGGCAGUUCACUGGACUGCAACUGACACUGAGGCUCGAAAGUGUGGGUAUCAAACAGGAUUAGAUACCCGGGUAGUC